This 83-nucleotide transfer RNA is filed under the name Acidimicrobiaceae bacterium. RNAcentral's name for it is "tRNA-Leu". It matches the Rfam family "tRNA". Rfam says of the family: Transfer RNA (tRNA) molecules are approximately 80 nucleotides in length. RNAcentral also lists the same sequence under 1 other name. The record is from RNAcentral. Lineage: Bacteria; Bacillati; Actinomycetota; Acidimicrobiia; Acidimicrobiales; Acidimicrobiaceae.
GCCCGGGUGGUGAAACGGCAGACACGGGGGACUCAAAAUCCUCUGCCCUCACGGGCGUGCGGGUUCAACUCCCGCCCCGGGCA